GAAGCCAGUUGAGUUGUUCCUCACGCUUUCCCCACGAAGCUGCAUCUGAAGGACUUCCUCACCCCCCCGCUGUGAUCACAAGUUAUGCCUCACAGAUUCAUUUCCUUAUGAAUGACUUCAGGAAGCCAGCAUUUUUAAUAAAUAGGAAGUAAAUUAUAUUUAAUGACUAAAUUCUCACCUAAAGUUGAUACUAAUAUUACAAUAACUCUCUUGUGCCCUAUUUUGGUGUUUUAAACUUCUUUGCUGUACAUUUAAGAAAAUCAGAAUUUCAGUAGACUCCUCGUGCAGUCUGAGGAGGCAGUUUCCUAUCUGGUUUGACUUAAGGGGCUGCAGAAGACAUUCUUAUCCCACAUAUUUCUUCUGCUGAUCAGUCAGCAACUGAAAUUCCAACUAAUGGAUUCCAUUCUUCCAGUUAAGACAUCAUCUCCAGAAAACUGUGCUAGUUGGCAUCCAGCAGUGCCCAAGUAUUAUUUAACCCACUAGAACCUGUGACUGCAUCAGCUUUAUAUCCUGGACCUCAGCCUGGAACAAAGGAGAGCUACACUUGGAUACUAAACACAAGUGGUCUGGAUAGAUUAUGCUGGGAAAAGAAGCCUGGAGCAGGCAGUACAGUGGGAGAACAAGUUCAACCAAUCUACAAAGGCCAAAAAUAUUUUCACAGGCCCCCAAAAGAUGAACUCCAAUCUGCUGCCCCUAAACGCAUUCUCCACUGUCUGGAAGAUGUGCAAAGGCAACGGCACAGCGUUCUCCAUCUCAAAUCCUUCAAAGUGCUGUCAGAAUAAAAGAAUCCCCACCAAAAGCCCCAGGGAAAUCUAUCUGUCUGUAUGGUAUGGUAAUGACUGAGGUUAUUCCAGAUAGGAUUCUGGGAGAAACUCAGCUAUUGAAAUCUAAUGAAUGGAACUGAGAAUUUCUUGUUAUAAUACUGUUUGUUUGAUUGAAUAUAUCCUUGCAUAUAGGAAGACAUAAAAAUAAAUAAUAAAAGCAAGAUAUUAUUUGAAUUUUUGUUUGAUUAUAUAAUCUGAGAAUUUUUCUGGUAAGUAAUUUUGCAUCUGGAUUUAUUUUUUCUGCCAGUCACUUGCCUUUCUAGUUUUAUGUCAUUUUUAUCUCUUUCCUAUUUUAAUGUCAGCACCUAGGUUUACAUUAAGGAUUGUAUUUUUUUAAUCACCAGGGAUUACAACAAUUUAUGUUCCUUUUCUAGCUGC
This 1202-nucleotide long non-coding RNA is filed under the name Homo sapiens (human). Its description in RNAcentral is "HSALNT0113252". The record is from RNAcentral. Lineage: Eukaryota; Metazoa; Chordata; Mammalia; Primates; Hominidae.